This 532-nucleotide ribosomal RNA is filed under the name Paenibacillus sp. RNAcentral's name for it is "bacterial SSU rRNA". It matches the Rfam family "Bacterial small subunit ribosomal RNA", at positions 68 to 583 of the family's 1533-position model. Lineage: Bacteria; Bacillati; Bacillota; Bacilli; Caryophanales; Paenibacillaceae. The record is from RNAcentral.
UUGAAGAGAAGCUUGCUUCUCUGAUGGUUAGCGGCGGACGGGUGAGUAACACGUAGGCAACCUGCCCUCAAGUUUGGGACAACUACCGGAAACGGUAGCUAAUACCGAAUAAUUGUUUUCUUCGCCUGAAGGAAACUGGAAAGACGGAGCAAUCUGUCACUUGGGGAUGGGCCUGCGGCGCAUUAGCUAGUUGGUGAGGUAACGGCUCACCAAGGCGACGAUGCGUAGCCGACCUGAGAGGGUGAUCGGCCACACUGGGACUGAGACACGGCCCAGACUCCUACGGGAGGCAGCAGUAGGGAAUCUUCCGCAAUGGGCGAAAGCCUGACGGAGCAAUGCCGCGUGAGUGAUGAAGGUUUUCGGAUCGUAAAGCUCUGUUGCCAGGGAAGAACGCUUGGGAGAGUAACUGCUCUCAAGGUGACGGUACCUGAGAAGAAAGCCCCGGCUAACUACGUGCCAGCAGCCGCGGUAAUACGUAGGGGGCAAGCGUUGUCCGGAAUUAUUGGGCGUAAAGCGCGCGCAGGCGGUCAUU